RNAcentral lists this ribosomal RNA (927 nucleotides) under metagenome. RNAcentral describes it as "bacterial SSU rRNA". It matches the Rfam family "Bacterial small subunit ribosomal RNA", at positions 574 to 1520 of the family's 1533-position model. The record is from RNAcentral.
AGUCCGUCUGUAUUAGUCUUAUGUUAAAGCCUGGAGCUUAACUCCAGAAAUGCGUAGGAAACGGUAAGACUAGAGGAUGUGAGAGGUCUGUGGAACUCAUGGUGUAGGGGUGAAAUCCGUUGAUAUCAUGGGGAACACCAAAAGCGAAGGCAGCAGACUGGCACAUUCCUGACACUGAGGAACGAAAGCGUGGGUAGCGAAUGGGAUUAGAUACCCCAGUAGUCCACGCCCUAAACGAUGUUCAUUUGCUUUUCGGAGUAUCGACCCUCUGAGAGGCGUAGCUAACGCGUUAAAUGAACCACCUGGGUAGUACGACCGCAAGGUUAAAACUCAAAGGAAUAGACGGGGACUUGCACAAGUAGUGGAUUAUGUGGUUUAAUUCGAUGUCAAACGAAGAACCUCACCAGGGCUGGAAAUUUAAUUGAAAGCUUCCAGAAACGGAAGCCCUCGCAAGACAAUUAGACAGGUGCUGCAUGGUCGUCGUCAGCUCGUGGUUUGAACUGUUCCCUUCAGUGGGGUAACGAGCGCAACCCUCGUCGUGUGUUACAAGUGUCACACGAGACUGCCCCCUCUCGGGGGAGGAAGGUGAGGAUGACGCCAGAUCAGCAUGGCCCUUUGAUGCCCUGGGCUACACACAUAAUACAAUCGCCACUACAACACGACGCAAUACCGCGAGGUGGAGCAAAUCGUUAUAAAAGUGGCGCCAGUUCGGAUUGAAGUCUGCAACUCGACUUCAUGAAGUUGGAAUUACUAGUAAUCGCGGGUCAGACAUACCGCGGUGAAUACGUUCUCAAGUCUUGUACUCACCGCCCGUCAACUCAAGGGAGCCGGAAAUACCCGAAGUAUCCCACUAUAAGUGGGUCCUAAGGUAAGCUCGGUGACAGGGACUAAGUCGUAACAAGGCACGGGUAGCGGAAGCUGCUCGUG